ACGGGAGGCAGCAGUGAGGAAUAUUGGUCAAUGGAGGCAACUCUGAACCAGCCAUCUCGCGUGAAGGAAUACGGCCCUAUGGGUCUUAAACUUCUUUUAUAGGGGGAUAAAGUGAGGCAUGCAUGCCUUAUUGUAGGUACCCUAUGAAUAAGCAUCGGCUAACUCCGUGCCAGCAGCCGCGGUAAUACGGAGGAUGCGAGCGUUAUCCGGAUUUAUUGGGUUUAAAGGGUGCGCAGGCGGCACGUUAAGUCAGCGGUGAAAUGCAGGGGCUCAACCCCGGCACUGCCGUUGAAACUGGCGAGCUCGAGUACGGAUGAAGUCGGCGGAAUGUGAUGUGUAGCGGUGAAAUGCUUAGAUAUGUCACAGAACACCGAUUGCGAAGGCAGCUGACUAAUCCGCAACUGACGUUGAGGCUCGAAAGCGUGGGGAGCAAACAGGAUUAGAUACCCUGGUA
Molecule: ribosomal RNA, 454 nt
Filed under: uncultured Porphyromonas sp.
Lineage: Bacteria; Pseudomonadati; Bacteroidota; Bacteroidia; Bacteroidales; Porphyromonadaceae
Description: partial 16S ribosomal RNA
Rfam family: Bacterial small subunit ribosomal RNA
Source: RNAcentral